Molecule: ribosomal RNA, 385 nt
Filed under: uncultured bacterium
Lineage: Bacteria
Description: bacterial SSU rRNA
Rfam family: Bacterial small subunit ribosomal RNA
Source: RNAcentral
AGCGAACGCUGGCGGCAGGCUUAACACAUGCAAGUCGAACGCUCCGCAAGGGGAGUGGCAGACGGGUGAGUAACACGUGGGAACGUACCCUUUGGUUCGGAAUAACUCAGGGAAACUUGAGCUAAUACCGGAUAAGCCCUUAUGGGGAAAGAUUUAUCGCCGAAGGAUCGGCCCGCGUCCGAUUAGCUAGUUGGUGAGGUAACGGCUCACCAAGGCGACGAUCGGUAGCUGGUCUGAGAGGAUGAUCAGCCACACUGGGACUGAGACACGGCCCAGACUCCUACGGGAGGCAGCAGUGGGGAAUAUUGGACAAUGGGGGCAACCCUGAUCCAGCCAUGCCGCGUGAGUGAUGAAGGCCCUAGGGUUGUAAAGCUCUUUCGGCGGG